GACAGAGGCCCCGAGCGUUAGUCGGAAUUACUGGGCGUAAAGGGCGCGUAGGCGGUUCGUACAGUCAGACGUGAAAUUCCUGGGCUCAAUCUGGGGGCUGCGUUUGAUACGUGCGGACUUGAGUGCGGAAGAGGGUCGUGGAAUUCCCAGUGUAGAGGUGAAAUUCGUAGAUAUUCGCAAGAACACCAGUGGCGAAGGCGGCUCACUGGCCCGAUACUGACGCUGAGGCACGAAAGCGUGGGGAGCAAACAGG
This 253-nucleotide ribosomal RNA is filed under the name uncultured prokaryote. RNAcentral describes it as "partial 16S ribosomal RNA". It matches the Rfam family "Bacterial small subunit ribosomal RNA", at positions 524 to 776 of the family's 1533-position model. The record is from RNAcentral.